ACUAAUCUCACGAUUCCAUGUAAUAUUUAAAAUUAAAUAAUUAGAUAAAUCUAGAUUUAUAAAUAGAUAAUAUUAUAGGUUAAUAAAGGUGCCAGCAACUGCGGUUAAACCAAUUAUAAAAAUUAACUAUACUCUAUUUCAAAUUUAAAUAAAAUCAUAUUAAUAAUAUUAUUUUAAUAUAAUUAUAUUCUUUGGUGAAAUAUGAAUAUUUAAAAAUUUUAAUAAUAUUAUAUAAAUAUAUUUACAAUUAUAAAUUUAUAAAAAAAACUAGGAUUAGAUACCCUAUUAUUAUAAACCUAAAAAAAAAUUUAAGAUUAAAUGUUAAAUCAUUAAAUUACUCAAAUUUGGCGGUAUUUCAACCCUCUCAGGGGAAUCUGUAAUUUAAAACGAUGAACCACGAAAAAAUUUACUUUUAUUUAAUUAAAUAUAUUUAAUUUAAUUAAUCUCAUAUAUCGCCGUUUUCAGAUAUUUUAUUAAUAAAAUAAUUUAAAAGUCUAACAUCAAAAACAAUAAUUCAGGUCAAAAUACGGAAUAUAAAAGAUAUUAUAGAUCACAUAAAUCAAUACUUAUAUAUAUAUAUAUAUAUAUAUAUAUAUAUAUAUAUAUAUAUAUAUAAAUAAAAUUAAUCAUAUAAAAAUUAAUUUUAUAGGAUUUGAAAGUAAAAUAAAAUUUUAAUUUUUUUAUUUGAAUAGGUUUUGAAAUGUGUACAAAUCGCCCGUCACUCUCAUCGAAAGAAGGGAUAAGUCGUAACAUAGUAAGAGUACUGGAAGGUGCCCUUAGAAAUUGAAAUUUUAAUUUAAAUUAAAAUUAUUCAUUUACAAUGAAUAUAUAUAUAUAUUAUAUAAAUUUCAAAUAAUCUUUUAUUUUAUAAUAU
RNAcentral lists this ribosomal RNA (874 nucleotides) under Ampulex compressa. Its description in RNAcentral is "12S ribosomal RNA". The record is from RNAcentral. Lineage: Eukaryota; Metazoa; Arthropoda; Insecta; Hymenoptera; Ampulicidae.